This 281-nucleotide ribosomal RNA is filed under the name uncultured prokaryote. RNAcentral's name for it is "partial 16S ribosomal RNA". It matches the Rfam family "Bacterial small subunit ribosomal RNA", at positions 524 to 803 of the family's 1533-position model. The record is from RNAcentral.
UACGUAGGGGGCUAGCGUUAUCCGGAAUUACUGGGCGUAAAGGGUGCGUAGGUGGUUUCUUAAGUCAGAGGUGAAAGGCUACGGCUCAACCGUAGUAAGCCUUUGAAACUGGGAAACUUGAGUGCAGGAGAGGAGAGUGGAAUUCCUAGUGUAGCGGUGAAAUGCGUAGAUAUUGGGAAGAACACCGGUGGCGAAGGCGACUUGCUGGGCAGCAACUGACGCUGAGGCGCGAAAGCGUGGGGAGCAAACAGGAUUAGAUACCCUGGUAGUCCCUGAGCGGG